Molecule: ribosomal RNA, 492 nt
Filed under: uncultured bacterium
Lineage: Bacteria
Description: partial 16S ribosomal RNA
Rfam family: Bacterial small subunit ribosomal RNA
Source: RNAcentral
AGUGAACGCUGGCGGUAGGCCUAACACAUGCAAGUCGAACGGCAGCACAGUAAGAGCUUGCUCUUACGGGUGGCGAGUGGCGGACGGGUGAGGAAUACAUCGGAAUCUACUUUUUCGUGGGGGAUAACGUAGGGAAACUUACGCUAAUACCGCAUACGAUCUACGGGUGAAAGCAGGGGAUCUUCGGACCUUUCGCGAUUGAAUGAGCCGAUGUCGGAUUAGCUAGUUGGCAGGGUAAAGGCCCACCAAGGCGACGAUCCGUAGCUGGUCUGAGAGGAUGAUCAGCCACACUGGAACUGAGACACGGUCCAGACUCCUACGGGAGGCAGCAGUGGGGAAUAUUGGACAAUGGGCGCAAGCCUGAUCCAGCCAUACCGCGUGGGUGAAGAAGGCCUUCGGGUUGUAAAGCCCUUUUGUUGGGAAAGAAAAGCAGCAGGUUAAUACCCCGCUGUUCUGACGGUACCCAAAGAAUAAGCACCGGCUAACUUCGUG